UACGAAGGGGGCUAGCGUUGCUCGGAAUCACUGGGCGUAAAGGGUGCGUAGGCGGGUCUUUAAGUCAGGGGUGAAAUCCUGGAGCUCAACUCCAGAACUGCCUUUGAUACUGAGGAUCUUGAGUUCGGGAGAGGUGAGUGGAACUGCGAGUGUAGAGGUGAAAUUCGUAGAUAUUCGCAAGAACACCAGUGGCGAAGGCGGCGCACUGGCCCGGUACUGACGCUGAGGUGCGAAAGCGUGGGGAGCAAACAGG
RNAcentral lists this ribosomal RNA (253 nucleotides) under uncultured bacterium. RNAcentral's name for it is "partial 16S ribosomal RNA". It matches the Rfam family "Bacterial small subunit ribosomal RNA", at positions 524 to 776 of the family's 1533-position model. The record is from RNAcentral.